Molecule: ribosomal RNA, 271 nt
Filed under: uncultured bacterium
Lineage: Bacteria
Description: partial 16S ribosomal RNA
Rfam family: Bacterial small subunit ribosomal RNA
Source: RNAcentral
CACGUAAGGGGCGAGCGUUGUUCGGAAUUAUUGGGCGUAAAGGGCGUGCAGGCGGUCAUGUAAGUCUGUUGUGAAAUCCCGGGGCUUAACUCCGGAGGCGCGAUGGAAACUGUGUGACUAGAAUCUUGGAGGGGGAGUUGGAAUUCCUAGUGUAGGGGUGAAAUCUGUUGAUAUUAGGAAGAACACCGGUGGCGAAGGCGAACUCCUGGCCGAAGAUUGACGCUGAGGCGCGAAAGCGUAGGUAGCAAACAGGAUUAGAAACCCUAGUAGU